GCCGCGGUGGUGAAACUGGUAGACACGCUAGCUUCAGGAGCUAGUUCUCGCAAGGGAUUGGGAGUUCGAGUCUCCCCCGCGGCACCA
This 87-nucleotide transfer RNA is filed under the name bacterium. Its description in RNAcentral is "tRNA-Leu". It matches the Rfam family "tRNA". Rfam says of the family: Transfer RNA (tRNA) molecules are approximately 80 nucleotides in length. Their secondary structure includes four short double-helical elements and three loops (D, anti-codon, and T loops). The record is from RNAcentral.